UGGGGAAUAUUGGACAAUGGGCGAAAGCCUGAUCCAGCCAUGCCGCGUGUGUGAAGGAGGCCUUAUGGUUGUAAAGCACUUUAAGUGGGGAGGAAAAGCUUAUGGAUAACACCCAUAGGUUCUGACGUUACCCACAGAAUAAGCACCGGCUAACUCUGUGCCAGCAGCCGCGGUAAUACAGAGGGUGCAAGCGUUAAUCGGAAUUACUGGGCGUAAAGCGAGCGUAGGUGGUUUAUUAAGUCAGAUGUGAAAUCCCUGGGCUUAACCUAGGAACUGCAUCUGAUACUGAUAAACUAGAGUAGGUGAGAGGAAAGUAGAAUUCCAGGUGUAGCGGUGAAAUGCGUAGAGAUCUGGAGGAAUACCGAUGGCGAAGGCAGCUUUCUGGCAUCAUACUGACACUGAGGUUCGAAAGCGUGGGUAGCAAACAGGAUUAGAUACCCUGGUAGUCCACGCCGUAAACGAUGUCUACCAGUCGUUGGGUCUUUUAAAGGCUUAGUGACGCAGUUAACGCGAUAAGUAGACCGCCUGGGGAGUACGGCCGCAAGGUUA
RNAcentral lists this ribosomal RNA (549 nucleotides) under uncultured bacterium. RNAcentral describes it as "bacterial SSU rRNA". It matches the Rfam family "Bacterial small subunit ribosomal RNA", at positions 355 to 896 of the family's 1533-position model. The record is from RNAcentral.